Pelodiscus sinensis (Chinese soft-shelled turtle) is the source of this 557-nucleotide non-coding RNA. Lineage: Eukaryota; Metazoa; Chordata; Testudines; Trionychidae. The record is from RefSeq and is a predicted model, not a curated record.
GAAUUGUCAGCUCCAUGGGACACAAAACAGUGAUUCUCCUACAACAUUCUGCAUCUGAAUUGGACCACAAAUUGGCAACAUCUGGCCCUGCAACUGCCAAGAGACUGAAUUUUAGUUAAUGUCCCGGUUAAGAAAGCAUAGACAUAACAAAUGGUGUCCAAUUUAUUUGAGAUGACAUUCCUGCACACAAAGUUGGUGACAUAAUUAAGAAAUGUAUUCAACCUAUUACUAAUUUAACACAGCUCAUCAAUAUUUUCAUCAGAAAGCUGUUUAUGGCCCACAGUGUCACAACUGAAUUUACGCAUUGUGCGUCCAACUAAUUUGAGUUACCAGUCAAGGAGUGGCUGGUGAAGAGACAGCAAGAGCCAAGUCUGUGUCAAAGCACACUCAGCUGCAAUGCAGCCAGCAGGAGAGGGGAUGAGAAGACCCACAGUAGUAUGAAGAGCUACAAGUCCUCUCCACUAACAUGUGAGCUCUUCACUUGUUCAAAAAUGUUCAAACAACUUUUCUGGCAAUUGCUUUUCACUUUCAUACAUCUGUUUCAAUGCCUAGUUACA